This 1493-nucleotide unclassified non-coding RNA is filed under the name Hevea brasiliensis (rubber tree). Lineage: Eukaryota; Viridiplantae; Streptophyta; Magnoliopsida; Malpighiales; Euphorbiaceae. The record is from RNAcentral.
UUCAAUUUCAACAGUGCCAAGAAGUGUCUUGUGUACAACAAAAGAGGAAUCUACUUGUAAGAAACAACCCAAAAUUACAAGAAACUCAAAUCUGUAAGAAAACAACCUAAAAUUUAAACAAAACUUCACACAUGUUAAACUUAUUAAGUUCAUUAGGGAAGUAAAGGAUAAACAUAAAGUUCUUAAAGUUAGGGACUUGGGAAUUAAACCCUGCUAUUUGCUGGCAAUGGCAAAACACCAUCAAAGAAAUCACCAAAGUAACCACGCGGCUCGUGUACUAGCUUUGAGAUGAUGUCUCUGAGUGUGAUUACCCCCUCAAGAUUUCCCAUGUCAUCGACAACAUAGAUCCUGUGGAUCUUCUUUGAGUCGAGCUUCAUGAUAACGUCUUUAAGGCUGUCACCUCUUCUGCAAGUAACCAUGUGGCUUAAGAACGGGGAGUUCUUUUCGUGCUCCCCCUGAUACCUUCUAACAGAUGUCAGGAAGUUCUUUGCUGUUAUAGAUCUGUAGUCCUUGUAAAUUUCGGGAGCAAUCAGGAGGAACUGAAUAUCUCUGAUGCUUAUAUUACCAAUAGCCUUCCUGCCACCACUUUCAACCACGGGGACUCCUCCAACACCCUUCUGUCUCAUCAACUUGAAUGCCUGCAGCACUGGUUCAUCCUCUUCCACCUGAAUGAUGCUACUUGGCUUCAUUAAAGGAAGACCAAGUUCAUACAAUUUCUUAGAACCCCAGCUCUCGAACCAAUGGAGACCAGCACAUUCUUCUAGCAUGUGUAUAACAGCAGGUUGAGUUAUGAUGUUAUCAAUCUUAUAUUCCCCUAAAUCAACCACAGGAACACUCUUCAUCUUGUAUUUAGAUAACAAGAGAAGCAUUGUCAGAAAGGAGUUCGAUUUCUGCAAAGCCAGAAAUGGAGCCCAGCGGAAUGAACCUGAAAUGUCCCGAACCUUUGUGUUCUUGUAGAGAUCUGACGAAGUUAAUGUCUCAAAAAAGUUACCAGAAGUCGCUGUUGGAGAUUCAGGAUGCAAACUUCUGAAUCUCGGAGAAGCGACUCCAUUAACAGCUGCAGCCAAAGCAGGGCUGAGAGUAUCAUCUGCUCCAUUCAUUACCGAAUCAAAAGCAGAGGUGCCCUCCAUCUUUUCCGACUGAUGGAGGAUCCACACGACAAUGCCGGCGAAUUCCACUAUGCCAAUAUAUCUAUCAAUCCAAGUAGCAUCUUCAGGGGCAUCAACAUCCACAACAGGUGCACUUAGUAUUUUGUGCUGUGAUAGUAACUUAACAGCUUCGGCCAAAGUUGCAUCAGAAUUUAUCUCAAUAACUUGAUUAGAAGGAGCAGGAGGGAAAUCAGAAACAGGAAUGUUUUCAAAACAUGCGUUGAGCUUUUCAGUAGGACUAAGCUGUGGUUCUUGUAUAUCCCAUAGAUCUUCUACUUGCAUACCAACUUUUGCUUCUGGGCUUCUUGGUGUUUGACAUCCUUCUUCCAUCACCAUUUUUUUUUU